This 324-nucleotide ribosomal RNA is filed under the name Clostridioides difficile. RNAcentral describes it as "partial 23S ribosomal RNA". It matches the Rfam family "Bacterial large subunit ribosomal RNA", at positions 1503 to 1838 of the family's 2925-position model. The record is from RNAcentral. Lineage: Bacteria; Bacillati; Bacillota; Clostridia; Peptostreptococcales; Peptostreptococcaceae.
UAUGUGUGCCCAAGCAUUGAGGCAGUCAAAGUAGGCAAAUCCGCUUUGAUAAUGCUGGGAUGUGAUGGGGAGCGAAAUUUAGUAGCGAAGUAGCUGAUUUCACACUGUCAAGAAAAGUCUCUAUCGAGGUUAAAGGUACCCGUACCGCAAACCGACACAGGUGGGUGAGGAGAGUAUCCUAAGGCCAGCGAGAGAGCUGUUGUUAAGGAACUCGGCAAAAUGACCCCGUAACUUAGGGAUAAGGGGUGCCACCAUCAGGUGGCCGCAGAGAAUAGGCCCAAGCGACUGUUUACCAAAAACAUAGGUUUCUGCUAAGUCGCAAGA